CGUGGAGCAGCAGGCGCGAAAACUUCACACUGGGGGCAACCCCGAUGAGGGAAUUCCUAGUGCUAGCGCUUUUUGUGCUAGCUCUCCUUCAGUAUAGAUAGCUG
This 104-nucleotide ribosomal RNA is filed under the name uncultured archaeon. RNAcentral describes it as "partial 16S ribosomal RNA". It matches the Rfam family "Archaeal small subunit ribosomal RNA", at positions 326 to 429 of the family's 1478-position model. The record is from RNAcentral.